CAGCAGCCGCGGGAAUACGGAGGGUGCAAGCGUUAAUCGGAAUUACUGGGCGUAAAGCGCACGCAGGCGGUCUGACAAGUCAGAUGUGAAACCCCCGGGCUUAACCUGGGAACUGCAUUUGAAACUGUCAGGCUGGAGUCUUGUAGAGGGGGGUGGAAUUCCAGGUGUAGCGGUGAAAUGCGUAGAGAUCUGGAGGAAUACCGGUGGCGAAGGCGGCCCCCUGGACAAAGACUGACGCUCAGGUGCGAAAGCGUGGGGAGCAAACAGGAUUAGAUACCCGAGUAGUCCCUGUCUCUUAUAC
Molecule: ribosomal RNA, 301 nt
Filed under: uncultured bacterium
Lineage: Bacteria
Description: partial 16S ribosomal RNA
Rfam family: Bacterial small subunit ribosomal RNA
Source: RNAcentral